RNAcentral lists this long non-coding RNA (981 nucleotides) under Triticum aestivum (bread wheat). RNAcentral describes it as "long non-coding RNA (TAES_LNC003957)". Lineage: Eukaryota; Viridiplantae; Streptophyta; Magnoliopsida; Poales; Poaceae. The record is from RNAcentral.
CAGGCCGUCCUGGCCGAGACCCCUGGCGCGAGCGUGGACGUGAUGGAGCAUCCGUCUGCAAAUUCUUAUUCCUCGCUGUGAUGGAGCGGGAUGUUGAGAGGGAUCUGUCCACAGAGCCAUCCCUUUCCCUCCUUCGUCACCUCCGUCCGCAACUUCGCAGCCGACUUCGCUGUUAGGGGCCUACCGCUCAACAUCCUCAUGUACAUACUACUACUCCCAAUCAUGCACAUCUAAUAGUUCAGGUUCUGUCAGCGAUUGCCAAGACCAUUUAGGUUCAGGUUCAGCGAGAUGGCUCUCUGAACCAUGAGUAGGUAGCACAACGCAUGCCUUGCCGUCUGAUAGUAGUUGUGCUACGGUUGUACUACUGUACCAUGUGUUCCUACUACUAGCUCUAGUCGUGGAUGCUGGGUAGCUCCCUGUUUUCUCUAUUUUUAUGUAAUCCUAGAUAGAACCAUGCAACUGUGGAUGAAAAACACUGCAAUUCAAUCUAAAAUUGUCAUCAUGAUCCUAGCAAAUACUCCUCAAAUUACUGUAAAUUGUUGCAUGAUUAGGGGCUAGUGUAGAUGCAAAAUAAGGUUGCACUUUUAUAGGAGAUAAGCCACUGAUGUUGGAUGCUUGGUAGUUGUCUUGUGUUGUGUGCAUGUUUGUACUAGCAGUAUGCCCGUGAGCAACAAGCAUACGAUUUGUGCCUAUGCUCUACUGUAUUGGCCUCAUUGGUCAUCGCUGAUUGACCAGGACUAUAGCUUAUUCCUUCAGCGUACUAUCGCUUUCUCAAGUCAACUCAAGCAACAAUUCAUGUGGCUCGCUCAAUCGGGUGGGCGGCGUAUUUAUUCAGUAUAUUCUCUGAAAUUGCAAGUUCUGAAAUGUAUCAUUUUUUGUGCAGUGAGAGAGCUGAACGGGGCGAGGCUGGAGGCAUCGGUGAGGGCGUACGAUGGCGCCGGCCAGAGCAAGGUGUCCAACAAAUGGUUAGGAUGUUACCUC